CGUAGGUGGCAAGCGUUAUCCGGAUUUAUUGGGCGUAAAGCGAGCGCAGGCGGUUUUCUAAGUCUGAUGUGAAAGCCUUCGGCUUAACCGAAGAAGUGCAUCGGAAACUGGAUGACUUGAGUGCAGAAGAGGGCAGUGGAACUCCAUGUGUAGCGGUGGAAUGCGUAGAUAUAUGGAAGAACACCAGUGGCGAAGGCGGCUGCCUGGUCUGCAACUGACGCUGAGGCUCGAAAGCAUGGGUAGCGAACAGGAUU
Molecule: ribosomal RNA, 254 nt
Filed under: uncultured bacterium
Lineage: Bacteria
Description: partial 16S ribosomal RNA
Rfam family: Bacterial small subunit ribosomal RNA
Source: RNAcentral